This 497-nucleotide ribosomal RNA is filed under the name uncultured bacterium. Its description in RNAcentral is "partial 16S ribosomal RNA". It matches the Rfam family "Bacterial small subunit ribosomal RNA", at positions 28 to 507 of the family's 1533-position model. The record is from RNAcentral.
GAUGAACGCUGGCGGCGUGCCUAAUACAUGCAAGUCGAGCGAACGGACGAGAAGCUUGCUUUUCUGAUGUUAGCGGCGGACGGGUGAGUAACACGUGGAUAACCUACCUAUAAGACUGGGAUAACUUCGGGAAACCGGAGCUAAUACCGGAUAAUAUUUUGAACCGCAUGGUUCAAAAGUGAAAGACGGUCUUGCUGUCACUUAUAGAUGGAUCCGCGCUGCAUUAGCUAGUUGGUAAGGUAACGGCUUACCAUGGCAACGAUGCAUAGCCGACCUGAGAGGGUGAUCGGCCACACUGGAACUGGGACACGGUCCAGACUCCUACGGGAGGCAGCAGUAGGGAAUCUUCCGCAAUGGGCGAAAGCCUGACGGAGCAACGCCGCGUGAGUGAUGAAGGUCUUCGGAUCGUAAAACUCUGUUAUUAGGGAAGAACAUAUGUGUAAGUAACUGUGCACAUCUUGACGGUACCUAAUCAGAAAGCCACGGCUAACUACGUG